UGUCAAAAAUAAAUAUCCUCUCAUAUAAUUUCCGAAAUAUGGUCGGGAAGUUUCUACCGGGCAACCGUAAAUUGUCUGACUAUGGGUGAAAUUUAUCUAAGU
RNAcentral lists this non-coding RNA (102 nucleotides) under Maledivibacter halophilus. Its description in RNAcentral is "Clostridium halophilum Guanine sequence". It matches the Rfam family "Purine riboswitch aptamer". Rfam says of the family: Riboswitches are metabolite binding domains within certain messenger RNAs that serve as precision sensors for their corresponding targets. The record is from Rfam by way of RNAcentral. Lineage: Bacteria; Bacillati; Bacillota; Clostridia; Peptostreptococcales; Caminicellaceae.